GUGUGACACACUACAACAAUAAUACGGAAGAGGUGGGAAUCAGGUGACACCGCUCCCGUACAGCUGAAUUGUAGUUCUGACAGUAAAAGCCAGACUGCAUUAUGGAGGACCAGGAGAUGCAACUGAAAGUCAGAAGGGUGACUGACAAGUUCACGGAGAGCAUGUACGUCCUGGCUAACGAGCCGUCGGUGGCUCUCUACAGGCUGCAGGAGCACGUCAGGAGGUCGCUGCCAGAACUAGUCCAGCACAAGACAGAUAUGCAGAGCUGGGAGGAACAAAGUCAAGGAGCCAUCUACACUGUAGAGUACGCAUGCAGUGCCGUGAAGAGCAUGAACAACAGCAGCUUAUAUUUCAAAAACAUUGACAGUCUUCUCCGUCAAGCCACCAGCAUGAAGGAACAGAUUAAUAAUUCUCAAGGGCGCAGAGCUGGUGUCAGACGAUUAGCUACCAAGUGGAAAGGUGGUGGAUCCAUCCACAGCUCCUACAGUGUGUUAGUUAAAAGCAGUUAAGUAAAAAUAAAAGUACUGUAUGAAUAUGUGUGUGGUUGGGUCAUAGGACUUGGAGUAGAAAGCACUUUCAGUGUUCAAAUUGAACUGUAAGGUACUAUGCAAGUGCCAGUCCAUUUACAAUUUACGUUAUUUUUUUUGCACUACAUCAUACCAUUCAUCAUUUUAUUUUUUUUGUUUUAUUUAUUUUAUUUUAUCCUUCAUCUAAUGUAAUAUAUCAUUUAAUAUAUUGCUUUUCAUUAAAGUUUGUUUCCCCUGUAAAUUCAAAAUCGUAAUCCAGACAUUUCUGAAUACUUUGUAGUUACUAGAAGCGUCAUACUUUCUGUUUGAUUUGUCUGUGUUGUUUUUUAUUUUAUUUUCCACCUUUUUUCCCUCCCACACUGACAACUGCAUGCAGCUUAAAUGAUGUGAGUCCCUGUCCCAGCCCCAUUGUCACUGCUCCACAUGCCCCAUCCACUUCCUCAUGACAGACAGAGGUGUCCAAGGAAAAGGACAAUGGACUCAGGCAUGCUGAAGGAGGUGGGAGAAAAGCACAGCUCUGGGAUGUGAUGCGACUUCCUAAGUUGGUGGCGUUGCCUUUAAAGUAUUGCCCUGCUACCUACUGACUGUGGCUGAAGUGGGUUUAGAAGGGCAACACCUCCUCAUCACAAUAGAGUGGCUGCCUACACUGACCCCCCCGCCCCCGUACAAGCCUCUCAGUGGAACAGAGCAUACCAGCGCUGCUAGGUCCAGCAUUAAAAACACUUAAGUCAUGGCUGCUCAAAGAAUGCAUUGUUCUGUUGGACUCACUGGUCGGAUCAGGGAGACAGCAGCACUGCUGUUUUGCUACUGCUGUUGAAAGUCCACUGCACAGCCAAUGUUUUAAAAAUUAGUUCUCUUUUUGUGUGUUUGUUCUGUUUAACAUUUUGCCAGAUGGUACAACAUAUGCUUAAACAAAAGUACAGAUACUUUUUUUUUUUUGCUCAGGCUUACCUAUUAAAUAGACGGAAACCCCCAGACAGAAGAGUCCAAUAGCCACAUGUCGUACUGCUCUGCUGUCCAGAAGGAACCAAUCUGCUCUGUUGAAAGAAAUCUGAUCUGUUUAGUGCACAAGUACAUUGCAUUACUUAAAAUAACAACAAUAUAUUUUUUUUUGUUUUUGAUAUGUUCAUUUUCUUUGCUAUAUAAUAAAGUAUUAACUUUUUGUCUUGCAAAA
RNA transcript from Oreochromis niloticus (Nile tilapia), 1701 nucleotides. It is a transcript of the gene named BLOC-1 related complex subunit 8, with no coding region annotated. Lineage: Eukaryota; Metazoa; Chordata; Actinopteri; Cichliformes; Cichlidae. The record is from RefSeq and is a predicted model, not a curated record. The transcript is spliced from 6 exons.